AAAGUGAGGCUAGUGACUUUGCACAGCCCUCCCUCACUUAACAGCGAGUCACUUGCAUGUUAGAGAAAAACAAGGCAUAAUCCCUGCACUCAGGACAUACCAGUACUACCAGGCUUGGGGAGUGCCUGAAAGAAAAAAUCAAGAGCUGGAGUUUGAUCCCUGCAUCACAGAUUCUACCUGGAGUAAGUGGCACCCCCUGAAUCUGGAAAAUGUCUGCAGAAUCCAGGGAGGCUACAUCCCUGACCUCUGGACCUCCACAGGAACAAGAGAGACGUCUAAAAAUGGAGCUGGGGGAGGUUUGUGCCUGGGAACAGGAAUCAGACCUACAGUGGAACGUACCCUUUGAUAGGGAGAUUUUUCGCCAACGUUUUAGGCAUUUCUGCUAUGAGGAGACCCCUGGACCACGUGAAGCUCUGAACCAACUCAGAGACCUUUGUCAGAAGUGGUUGAGACCAGAUAUUCAUACAAAGGUGCAAAUCCUAGAGCUACUAGUACUGGAACAGUUCUUGACCAUCCUGCCUGAAGAACUACAAGCCUGGUUGCAGGAGCACCAUCCAAAGAGUGGGGAACAGGCAGUGACUAUGUUGGAGGAUUUAGAGCAAGAGCUUGAUGAGCCAGAUCAGCAGGUUAGAGCCUCUACCUGCAGAAAAGAGGAGAUUUUAGAGGAGUCAACACUUCUAGGAACAUUACAGAAGUCCUCUUGUGUUCAGCACCAGGCUUUGAAGGCCCAACUCAAAUGCGAAUCACCAGAAUCUUACUUCCAACCAGAAAGAGGUGGUGAUAAUCAGACUGAGGAACACUUAACUCCAAAGCAGGAAAUUUCUACAGAAAAAGAACUAUGUGAGGAAGUCUCUGGAAAUCUUAAUGGCAAUAUUCCACAGGUUUCAGAGUGUAAUAAACACCUUAAGGGCCGAUUAAGAAAAAAGAAGGAAAAUCUGCUGGGCCAGAGACAACAUAAAGAUAAUGAAUGGGGGAAAAAUUUCACUUGGAGCUCAGGCUUUAUUAGGAAUCAAAGCACCUACUCUAUAGAAAAACCCUAUGGGUGUGAUACAUGUGAGAAAGCCUUCAGUCAGAGCUCACAUCUUCUUAAUCAUCAGAGAAUUCAUUCUGGAGAGAAACCCUAUGAAUGUCAGGAGUGUGGGAAAGCCUUCAAUUAUAGCUCACACCUUAUUCUACAUCGGAGAAUCCACACUGGGGAGAAGCCUUAUGAGUGUGUUGAGUGUGGGAAAUCCUUUAGUCAAAGUUCAAGCCUUAUUCAGCAUCAGAGAAUCCACACUGGGGAGAAACCCUAUCCGUGUAAUCAGUGUAGUAAAAGUUUCAGUCGAAGCUCAAACCGCAUUUUACAUCAGAGAAUACACACAGGAGAGAAACCUUAUGAAUGUGAUAAGUGUGGGAAAGCCUUCAGACAGAAAUCUGCCCUUGUUCUACAUCAGAGAAUCCAUACAGGAGAGAAACCUUAUGAAUGUGAAGAAUGUGGGAAAGCCUUCAGUCAGAGUACAAACCUUAUUAAACAUCAGAGAAGCCACAGUGGAGAAAAAAUCCUUUCAGCAUCUUGAUAUAAAUGUGAUGAAUGUGGUAAAAAUUUCAGUCAAAGCUCAGCCCUUAUUCUUCAUCAGAGAAUCCACAGUGGAGAGAAACCCUAUGAAUGUGAUGAGUGUGCAAAAGCUUUCAGCAGAAGCUCAAUUCUUAUUCAACAUCGAAGAAUCCACACUGGGGAAAAACCUUAUAUAUGUCAUGAAUGUGGGAAAGCAUUCAGCCAAAAUUAUUCCCUUAUUCUACACCAGAGAAUCCACAGUGGGGAGAAACCCUAUGAAUGUGAUGAGUGUGGGAAAGCCUUCAGCCGGAGUUCAAUCCUUAUUCAACAUCAGAGAAUCCACACUGGAGAAAAACCAUAUAAGUGUCAUGAAUGUGGGAAAGCUUUCAGUCAGAAUUCUGGGCUUAUUAAUCAUCAGAGAAUCCAUACUGGGGAAAAACCCUACGAAUGUAGUGAGUGUGGGAAAGCUUAUAGUCAAAGCUCAAAUCUUUUUAGGCAUCAGCGAAGACACAGUGAAGAAAAAAUCCUAUCAAUGUCAUGAAUGUGUAAAAAUAUUCUUUUAGACCUUGGGCCUUUUUCAUCAGAAAAGAAGGUGUAAUGGGGGAAAGAGGGAAUCAGUUUAGCUUUAGUGGACUAAAUAGUUUCCUCUUAACAUCAGAAUAGCCCCUGUGGAAAAUGAGGGAGAUCUUCAGUCAUUAUUUCUACUUUAUGUUGUCAUACCUUUCUAUAAACUCUCAGAAUCUUAACCUUAUUUUUGAUAUUUAUUCCUGAAUUUCCUGUUUGUAAACAUGUCUCCUCUGCCUGCCCCAUUUCAAAGCUUCCAUGUUAAGAAAGUCAGUUGUUUCUGUAUUGAGAAUAUGAGUCCCUUCAAAGACAGAUUUUUGUGUCCUGUUAAAAAUGUAACACCAAAACUCUAAAGACCAUAUCCCAGAAGCACCAUUUCUGACUCUUAAAUUAUGUCGUCUUAUAUCAAAAUCUUGUUGGUAAAUUAGGCUCUAGGAAUUUAAUAGGUAGCUCAAAAGAAAGAGAUAGACCUUUAAAUACAGAACAAAAGAAAAUUAGUAUACAUUUAUUAAGUGCCUACAAUGUGCUAGGCACUGUGCCAAGGUCUGGGCAUAGAGUCAAAAAACUAUACCUGCUUUCAAGGGGCUCACAGAACCCACAAACAAAUGUGUACAAACAAGCUAUAUACAGGAUAAAAGAGGCAUUAAGAGAGAUUGAGAAAAGUUUCUUGGAGAAGAUGGAUUUUUGUUGGAACUUGAUGGAAGCCAGUAGGCAGAGAUGAGAGGGAAAGCAUUCCAGGCAUGGGGUACAAGGCCAGUGUCACUGGAUUGAAGAGUGUGUAUAGCAAGGAGUAAGGUGUAAGAAGAAUGAAAAUGGGUGGGGAUCAAGGGUGUGUUGCCCCUUGCAGUGCCAAACAGGAUUAUGAUUUGAUGGGGGAGGUAUUAAGGAGCCACUGGAAUUUAUUGAGUAGUGAGAUGACAGGGGUCAGAGUCAAACAUUGAAAAGCAGACAUGGCAUUUAAAUCAGGAACAGGAUAAACUCUGUUACUGAAUAAGGAUUGAUUGAUAAUAAGUAAGACUCCAUGCAUUAAGGAUACAGUUAUCUAACUUUAAAAAAUGUCCAAAGCUGUCUAAUUUGUAGACAGUUUACUGAUGAAAUUACAGUAUCAACAUAUAUCUUAUCAGGAAAUAGUCGAUUAAAAUAUAACUAUAAGAUGGGAAAUUAUAGGAUAUUAUGAGAAUAUGUUGAAUGACACAUGUUAGCAGGAUAAUGGUGUCUUCCAACUCAUUUUGGAGUCUAAAAAUAAGGAUAGUUGGAGAAUAAGAUUUAUCAUCAUGUCUCUAGCACUGUCUAAUUGAUAAUGAAGUACCUACUAUGUGCCUAGCCCUUUGCUAAUCACUGGACAUAAAAAUAACUAAUUCCAACUUCCAAGGAGCUGUUACUCUAAUGUGGAAGGGAAGAAGUUCACUGGGCAGUGCUAGCUGCUGGCAUAAGUAUCUAGUCAGUCCAGCCAAGACAUCUCUAUAGAUGAGAACCACUGAGAUUGAAAAAGUAGUGAGCACCCAUUGUGUAUAAAGCACUGUGCAAGUUCCUCACUAUUACUGUAGCUUGGUACCUACCACUAUGAAUCAUGAGCUGGUUUGCUACUACAAAUCAGUGUCUUGAGAGUGUAGGGGAGUGUAGACUAUUUUUCUUCCCUAGGGUGUAAUUAUUGCUGAGUAAGCUGAUCCCUUAGACCUAAUGCAACCGCCAGAAAUCUAGGGGUUUUGGCUUAAAAGAGCCUGGGAGCAUCUCCAAGCUGAAGCUGCUCUCUGUUGCGAGUUCUAAGGCUUUUCAAAAGAUCUUGUCUUAAUGCCCACCCCUCAGUCACCAGGUACACUUAAAGUUACACCUUUAUGUUUCAUUGAUCAUGUGUUCUUAUUAAAAAUAAAAUCCCUGGUUUGUUCAUGUCUAAAAUAUCCAUCAGACUUCAUGAAACUAACCUAUAGGGUCAUUAGAAUAAUACACAUAUUAUUAGUCAGUAGACUACGUACUCCAUGACUCUGUAUCCCAGGUUCAUUGCUCAGUGGAAAACACCAGUAGCAAAAUAAGGCUAUGAAAAAAAGGUAGGUAACAUUCUUGUAGUGACCAUUUGAUGCUGACCCUUUUGAAUUUUAAUCAUUUUAGUCUCGAAAAUACUUAUCUAAUGCUUGGAGUGCCUUCAAAAUAAAAUGAGAUUGUCGUGGGCCAGUUAAAAAUAGUGGUAAAUAAAAGGCCAGCAGGUGGAGAAGUGGAUGCAAAAAGGAGCUUGUUAGUAGAUCUGCUGAUCGUGAUUAACUAAGAAAUGUGCUUUAUAGAUUUAACAGUACAAAUAUGUAUUGAUACUAUGUAUUUUAAGUUAUAAAAGGGUCUUUUGCUUGGGACUCAUUCUCCUUGUAGCUGCUGAAAGAGAACAAGUGGUGUCUAAUAAAGCUAUGAACUCUCCCUGAAA
Trichosurus vulpecula (common brushtail) is the source of this 4508-nucleotide RNA transcript. It is a transcript of the gene named zinc finger protein 2-like, with no coding region annotated. The record is from RefSeq and is a predicted model, not a curated record. The transcript is spliced from 7 exons. NCBI's taxonomy places the organism in Eukaryota, Metazoa, Chordata, Mammalia, Diprotodontia, Phalangeridae.